GUAAUCCCUCAGUUUGUCCAGAUGAAGUAUGGCCUGACUGGCCCUUGGAUUAAAAGACUCUUACCUGUGAUCUUCCUCGUGCAAGCCAGUGGAAUGAAUGUCUACAUGUCCCGAAGUCUUGAAUCCAUUAAGGGGAUUGCGGUCAUGGACAAGGAAGGCAAUGUCCUGGGCCAUUCCAGAAUUGCUGGGACAAAGGCUGUUAGAGAAACGCUAGCAUCCAGAAUAGUGCUGUUUGGGACCUCAGCUCUGAUUCCUGAAGUCUUCACCUACUUUUUUAAAAGGACCCAGUAUUUCAGGAAAAACCCAGGGUCAUUGUGGAUUUUGAAACUGUCUUGUACUGUCCUGGCAAUGGGACUGAUGGUGCCAUUUUCUUUUAGUAUAUUUCCACAGAUUGGACAGAUACAGUACUGUAGUCUUGAAGAGAAAAUUCAGUCUCCAACAGAAGAAACAGAAAUCUUUUAUCACAGAGGGGUGUAGGCGUGAGUUUUAGGUGAAUUUAUGUGGUUCCUGCUUGAAAACCUUCCCCUCUCCAGGUUCGGUUUAGAGAACUUUGCCACAGGUCUUCUGGGGACCCCAGAGGUGUCUGUGCUGACAAGGCGACUUCAAAUUCCAUACUGAGAUCGUUCCCAGGCUGGCGUCUCUGGGGUUUUUAAGGCUGGCUGGAGAAGACAGUGGGAGGGUGCCCCGUCUGACACCCCUGGGGUUGCUGAGGGAACGGUUGGAGUGGGGAUCAGCCUGCGAAAGGAUACUGUGAAAUCACUAAUUAACUAAUAAACCUGUCUCAAGUUGAGGAUUUGAAGAAAGAACACAGAGUCCACCGUGCCCAGGACACAGGUGUGAAAUGGAUAGGCCGUCUCAAGCGGAACACGUACCCCUGGGGCGCUGUUGACGCCCUCCGACCCCAAAAGCAAUCUUGUUUCCUUACUCAGUGUCCUCCAUUCUAGACAGCUAC
Molecule: small RNA, 952 nt
Filed under: Pan troglodytes (chimpanzee)
Lineage: Eukaryota; Metazoa; Chordata; Mammalia; Primates; Hominidae
Description: retained intron
Source: RNAcentral